GAGUUGGGCGCCAUGGCUGCCUUCUGGGCAGAGUGCAGGGCCUGCCUUAAAUGUUGUGGGGGUUCUGUUCUCAACAAAGGCGUAAGUUGGGAGCGACUGAGCCACUCCAGGAGGAGGUGUGGGCCCACGGCGUGUUGGAGGUGGAGCCACAGGACCUGUCCAUAGGUUGGAUGCUGUGUGGGUGACAGAGAGAAACCGGGGCUCACGGCCUGGGCAGCGGGACGGGCGGAGUCGUCCUCACCUGUGCUGGGGACCCUGUGGGAGCAGCAGGCUUCCGAGCACGUGCUGGACCCCGGCGUCUCCGGCUGCACCGAGUGGUCAGGACAUUGAGGCCGGGUCAGGGAGCGUGAGAUACCGGGACGAGCGGGCCCAGGGCUGAGCCCAGCGGCGUCCGGGUGGGCGGUGGCGUUGAGAUGGGAAUUGGGAAUUGCACCGGUGGUCUCAGGAGGAUGGAAAACCCAAGCAGCAGCUGCACCAGGACCGAGGCAAAGGGACCGCAGUUUAACAGAAAACCCAAAACGAGAGCGAGAAAACGGCCAAACACCCGUGCGAGGAGGAAACCCAAGCUCCGCCGAGCGCGGCGGGUCUGUGCCUUCGCUUCGCUUCCAGCCUCUCGCUUCCUUCUGACCCGACCCCGAGUUCUUUCUCCGGACGGUGUCGAGAACCCGGGCGCCGGCUGGGGCUGGAGUCUCGCUGGCCUCGGAGCGCCCCCGAGCCCUCGGGCGACAGCGAGGCGAGGACCCAGGGAACGCCAGGCCCCCGGACGCGACCCACGCGGCCGCUGCCAGCGGG
This 792-nucleotide long non-coding RNA is filed under the name Homo sapiens (human). Its description in RNAcentral is "non-protein coding lnc-PGGHG-1:9". The record is from RNAcentral. Lineage: Eukaryota; Metazoa; Chordata; Mammalia; Primates; Hominidae.